UUGUCAUUUUUAUUUGCAAUACUUUAGGUCCAAGUUUCAAACUGCAAUAUUUUUACACUCAAGACACAGUCAUGCACAAUCCAUAAUUCAAUUUUCUAUUGCUUCAACCACAAUUUAAAAUAACAAUAUUGGAAACAAAAGUUUAAAAAAAAUCAGAAGCUGAGGUCAGAAGGAUGGAACCAUACCAUCAGCAGGUCUACGAAAGAAAUAACUUACUGAAAAAACUCAAACAAACAAAAAGACCAUAAAUACCUUUAAUCCAAAGUUACAGAAGAAUUUCACUACACAUGGGUUUUACAGGUAACACAUUUUAACAAAAGUGAUGCACAACCAAAUGAGAUACAAUUCUGAUAAAAAAGGAAAAUAUAGAUCCUCCUCAACUUGUUUUGUCUGGAUAUCAUGAGUACAAUCCCAGUAGAUGUCAGCACCGUGUGAUCUGACUCCUCCUGGCUGAUGUACUGAGACUUAAAACUCAACCCACUAAUGGUUAUAGGAUUCUGUGAAAGGUCUUAUCACUAAUGAAUAUAGUAUAUGCGGGUCCAUAAAGCACACCACACACAAGCACACAUACUCAACUUGAAUUUCACACUCAGGGCUAGUUGGCACUCUGUUAAGAGGCAGGGCAUCGGGACUAGGUGACUUCCAGUUUACCCUCUUUCUGGCAGUCUACUCAUAAACUGGCCGCUCACUGUGGGAGUUGUCAUCAGAAAUGCUAUCUUUGGUUCCCAACAAGUGGAUGUGUCAACAUUCCUUGAUGCUAAUAGCACAUACUUACUUUUUCACUUCUUUGUCUGCAACCUACAAGGGCUUAUGUCUGCUCUUACUAGUCCUAGCCAUUGAAAUGCAUGGGUUCUGCCAUCUUGUGCCAUUUACAAAGUAAAGUCUAUAAACCCAACAUCACUUUGUAGGAAAGGAAAGGCCCAAACAUCGUUCUGUUCUAGCAAGUGUGACAGUGUAUUUCUGUUCUAGUAGCACAUAUUGGCCACAGCUUAAUGAAAACCAGACUUCACAUACAGAGCAUAUGGAAAAUAAAAACUGGGAACACAUCACAGAAAAAGGACAUUAAAACAACAACGAAACAAAAUGCGAGGAUUGGGAAGGCUGCCAUAAGUUUUAUCAACAUUCCCUAGUGUUAUUUUCAUUUACUUAAGGUUUUUUUCUUCCCCCAUCAUCUUACAUAUUUCUACAGUUUAACGGCAACAUAAGAAACCCAGGCUUAAGCAUGCAAUAUUUGCCAUCAAUCACUUUAGCAGGUUGAAUUUGCAAGGCAACCUAUAGUACCACAGAAUGAUAGAACUUUUGGAAAGACCUUGGAGGUCAUCUGGUCCAAUAGCCUUAUUUUACAGAUGAAGGAACAGCCAUGAGAAGGUUAAGUGGCUUGCCCAAGGCCUCAAACGAAGUGAGAAACAGAGCCUAUGUUAGAAUCCAGGUCUCCUUACUCCUAGGCUGGUCCUCCUUCCACCACGUCUGCUUGCUUCUUUAUAACUCCUGCUGACUUCCUCUUAGGUACUAAAUCAGGUGAACACAAUACUUCCCUCAACUGCUGGUAGGUAUUAUGGGGCAGCAUUCACCUGACAGCAGCUUCCAAAGGAGACUCUGACAGCCUCAACCUGUUUCUAUCAGUUUAUCCUGCAAGUAUGACUGUAUUACGUGGCAGUAAAUGCUAUAUGUACGGUAGUAUACUUGCACAUAGACGUGUGCAUGUGGAGGUGACAGCUCCGUUCCCGCAUUUGCAGAUUCAGUUAGAGAUUGUUUAAUAAUAAACAGACAUUCUCAAUGCAUGAGGAGUUGGGUGAUAUUCAUUUGGCCACUACAGGAGUGUGGGAUCAGGAAAGGAGUGACAAAAUUAAAGCUAACCAACAGAAAGAUGAUAUCAGAAGCAAAUCUCUUAUGAAAAAUUCUUUCUUAGGGUAAAAUAUUUCCACUGUUUCCAAGGUACCAUUUAUUUCCUUCCCAAGCCACAUGCAAAUAUGUUCAGAAUUGUGUGUUAAGUUCACUCGAAAUCCCAGGCCUAUUAGACCAUCAAUUUACGAAUGCUGAGUUGUGGUCCUCUUGCUUAGAGGAUGGGAGAAGCUUGCAUCACUGGCCAUGCCUGUGUUUAACUGAAUAUUAACUGCGAGUAGCACAGAGAAGGACCAUGAGAUUUGACCGGGGAUGGCAGGGAUAAAGAACUCUAAUUAAGUAUUAUUUUCACAUUGAGAAUGGCAAUGAAAAGUGGGUUCUCUCAGUAUAAGGUCUGCUCUUGGGGAAACUGAGUCACAUCUGAGCCCACUGCAUUAUAAAACUCAUCAUCUAAAAUUUCUUUGGUGGUUAGAGGAAAAUUUUUCUCUCUUGGUACUCUCCCUUUGCCCUUUAAAAAUGACAGUAGUUACUGCAAUCAACCUAUCAUCAAGCAGCACAGAAUGCACAUGGAGGCCAUCUCCAGCCAAAGCGAAUAGGAGCUGAAGACCAAUAGGCAAAGGCAGUUCUAAAUAUUUGUCUUUAUGUUUUCAUAGUUGGCUUUUAAUUGCAAGUCCUAACUUCUACUGAAAUCAAAGGGACUUGUCUACUCAUCACUAAAAGGAGCAUUGUACCUGAAUGAUAUAACAUCUGGUGGAACAAGGACACGGUGGAAGUUGGGGGGAGUCCUCCUUCUGUUCUUCUAAAAUCCAACCUGAAAAUUUGCUAAAAUGAGCCAGAAAGGUGAUACCUGAACAUCACCCCAUCCAAUCUAAAGUAACCAAAACAUAAACCUCUGCACCAUGUCAAAGCAGAGGGCAGCCAAUUUUAAAGCAGAAGGAUGUGUCUGGAGAUCUAAUGGCGACAUCUCCCUAGCUUCCACUUAGAGAUAAUAGUCUGCUAAGAAAGCAUGUGCCAUACCCGAGCGUGUGCCAACCUCAGCACCCAGGCAAAUAUAAAGCCUAUGGAAUAAUUGUAACUAGCAAAUAUCUGUGCCCUGCAUGCUCUGGGCUCUGGUCAGAAGACAUCUGCUUCUGGUGUCUUUUCUAUGUUUCUACAGUCCCCUUUCCAAUGUUUAUUUAUUAUAAAGCAAUAUUAUAACAGUAUCAAAGAAACUUUUUAAAGGAAUUUUUUUUGCAUAAUCCCACCACUGUAACACAACUGAUUUCAACAGUGUUCCCAGUCUUUGUCCGUUAUGCACACUUAUUUUUCCAUAGUUGUAAUCCCUCUUUGUGUUAUUUAAAAGUGAUUUGAUAGAUUCUCUCUGAGAACUGGCAGCCUCACUAGAAAUAAACACGCCACUGUGCAAAGGAAUAUAGUUAUUUACACGAUCUUUGAGUGGAGAAAUAUCCUUUAUAGACAAACAUCUCAAACUAUCAAAACAGUUAUACAGACGACAGGAAGCAAUUUCAUAUUUCUUUUUCUUUUAGCAAUGGAAUGUGCUUCACAGGAGAGGGAUGGAUGUGGGGGAUUAGGUGGUUAAACUCAACAUUGGGGUGCAAUUCACAAGCCUGAAGAAAUCUGAGUAACACAAUUAAAGAAUAAAUACUUGAGUUAAAUCUUCUUACAUGACUUGGCCAUCCAGUAGCCAAAACGGAACAUGGACACACAAAUAUUUACAAUGACACAUAGACGAGAUCAGCAAGAGCGAAGUCAUUACCCAACACGGUGACUGAUUUGGGGGGAUUGUGUCAUCCAAAAAUCCUCAUGGGAUUAUGACAACGCACCGGAUCCUUGCUACAACAUUAAUGUUCUCUUCUCUCUUAAAUAAAUAAUCUCUACUGUGCUUCUUACCCUUCCCUGACUUUCCCUCUGCCCUAUCCCUAUCUCAGGACAUUUUGCCAUCAACACUCCACAACGUGCCUUCAUUAUUUCUGGGCACACUAGCAAUUUUAAGGAUCUGGAUAGAUUCAUCUGUGUCAAGAUGAGCUUAAAAAAAAAAUCCAGAGAAAGGGAAUAAACGACCACCUGGAGUCCAAGUUGUUCAAGUGUACCCAAUGUGAAUCCUUCAGCAUCAUUUUGGCAGGAGAAACAGCUUCUUGCUAAUACUUAUUAGAAAUAUACAUAACUCUCCAACGUGGGGGAGGGGUUUUAGAAGCUAUUCUCAUUUAAAAAUUUACAUAGAUAUAAAUUUGUAAGAGUAAAGCCUACUGCACUAUAUUACCAUAAAAUCGUGGUACAAUGGGGGCGCGGCGAAGAAGUACCUGGCUCCUCAUUGGUAAUAUGCAGAACCGAAAGCAUAAAAGAGCAACCAUUUUUCUGCCUACAGUGAUCUCAGGAUCACUGCUCCAGGUCUCUCCCCACCCAAAAGGCCUUUAAGACAUAUAAGAGACGCUAAUCAACAACUAGGGCUUCCCAACCAGCUUUGUGAUUCUCUCCACUGGCAGGGGCAUAGUUAGUGUACUGAAUUCUACUCACACCCCAGGUAUUAUUUCAUUGAAUUCCCUGGCACUAUGAAUGAAACAUUAAAAAAAGAACAUUUAACUUUAAGUGAAAUAAAUAUUAAGGCCUCUCUCUCUUUCUCUCUCUCUCUCUCUCUCAUUAGAACAGUGUGGCUUUCAAAAUUUCAGGCCCAACCACCUUUUUGCCAAGUAUAACACAACAUGUUUCAAAUGAAUGUAACCAUUUGAUCUUCUUUUUGCAUGUGUUGUUUUAUCUCACUGUGGGUAUUUUCUAGGGGGUCAAGCCCUCCCAAAUUUUAUCGUAAAAGAAAACAAUAGGAAAAUAGGAAAUCCACCAGUGGUGCCAUUUCCUAAACAUAAACACAUGCACUAUAUGGUUAGCAGAAACUCUCUAAAGAAAGUGCUUGCUUUUUAAGGAACAGAUGGAUGGUUAAAUGGACAGAUGUACCUUGGCAGAGAAGAGAGGCUCGGGCCACCAAUCUCCUUCUCCUUCUUGCUGAAUGUAGAUAUGUAACAUAUUGAGAAUCUGAAUAGAACCUAUCAAGAAGCCUUCUAUUGAACAGACUGUUUCUCAAAGGCAUGGAGAAACCACUUUACAGAGUUUAUGAAACUGACAAUACAUUUGAAAGAGAAGCAUACCCAUUUUUUCUACACAGACACCCUCCAGAUAUUUUUCUACUCUAGAAGAUUCAGGAAGUGCCAACUGUUGAAUUGUUAAGAAGUAGCUACAUGAUUGGGCUGAUACUUCUUGGGAUAUGAUCACAAGCCCUAAUUAUUUUUUUAAAUUUUUUUCCUAAUUAUUUUUCACUGGAAAAUUUCCAGAUCUUUCUGAAUGCAGUUUUGGAAUUCAAAAGCUGAAAGGACAAAGUCUGGCCAUACUAUAUCCUGAAACAGAAACUGAUGAGACAGGGAAAAUGGGAACAAGUACUUAGAGCCAAAUGUUGAUUGGGAUGUAGUUGUCAUGGACCCCUUGUUUCUGACAGGUUUGGAUGCUUAGAAAUAUCUCUGUUCCCCAGUUCUUUUAAGAAAUUUAAAAAAUGUUAUAACUUGUCACAUGAUUCUGAUCGUAAGCAAAUGUUGGCUAAGGGGUCUGUUUCCUCCAAAGGUGCUUAUUUUACAAGCAAAAGAGAGGAUUAAGUUAGGUCUCCUGAUCUUUGUUUCCUUUGUCCACCAAAGAUCUGUGUCACACACUCAUCUUGCUUCCCUUUUGGCUCUCAGAGAAAGUCCCAUCUUUGUCUAAGAAUGGUUUCUCCCGUUGGGAUUUCCUAGGUUGAGGACCUGGACCCACCCAACAGGAGUACCACCACUUUCAAUGUGUCCUUUGUCAGGCGCCAUGAAGAUGAAUGAGCCAGUUUCUAGAAAUGAUACAUCAACUACCUCUGAAGCGUCGUUGUGAAAAUGUGACAGGAUUUCACCAUUUGAGCUUUAUUUAGAUAGACGGUUUUGAAAAGCCCUUCCUGAACACACAUAUUCCUCUCUGCUUUUGGAAAAAUGCCUUAAAAGAAACCUUUUCCAAUACAAAUGCAGAAAAAAAAAAGGCACACAAACCAAGCCACCACUAUAGAAGAAGAAUAAAAAAUUGCAACUCUAUUAGGGCAUGGACUUCCACAUGUUCACACAGUACUUGCUCUG
RNAcentral lists this long non-coding RNA (5972 nucleotides) under Canis lupus familiaris (dog). Its description in RNAcentral is "lncRNA (ENSCAFG00000055120.1, ENSCAFG00845022328.1)". Lineage: Eukaryota; Metazoa; Chordata; Mammalia; Carnivora; Canidae. The record is from RNAcentral.